This 1124-nucleotide long non-coding RNA is filed under the name Olea europaea subsp. europaea. Lineage: Eukaryota; Viridiplantae; Streptophyta; Magnoliopsida; Lamiales; Oleaceae. The record is from RNAcentral.
CUAGCCUUCUUCAAGCCUUCAACUACAAAUAACUUAUCGUAACUAUCUAUUAAGUGAUUUCAUCUAUCAAUAAAAUGUACAUCAAGAGCAAUUCCUCUAGUACAAGGGAAUUGCUUACAGGGUGUUGUGCUAGCAGCAUUUGUAUGGUGCAUUUUUUUUGUAUUUUCUGCCGAUGACCAAUAAAAUUUGAUCAAGUGGAAUCUUGCUAAAAAAUUUGUAAAGCUUUACCUGUACACAUAGCAUUACUUGUACAUCAAUGAAAUUUUCAGACAUCAUGUAGGUUUAAAUUUAUGUUUCAAUGGUAUAUAUUGGAAAUUUGUGCGAUUAUGUCAAAUUUUUAUAAAGUUAUUAUGCAAGAGAAUUUAAAUUCUUGGAGUCAAUUCAGAACAAAAAAUAAAUAAAUAAAUAAAUUGAAUAACGGUAUAUAGCAUCACUAGUCUUAAAACAUCAUCGUACUUAGCAUAUAGAUUGGACAUUAAAUGAUAAAUCCAAUUAUAUGUGGUAUUAUGAGACCCAUGUAAUUGAUAUAUUAUGUGUUAUCACGAAUAUUGGUGUUUUAUUUCCACUAAAGCUAUAUAGUAUUAUCUAGCACUAUUUCGACUUCUUUUUUCUUGUGUGCCGUUCGUGAAUUUCUCAUUCAAAGUACAAGGUUUUAUUUUUUUUUUCUUUAAUCUUCUCCAAUCCAAUUUAUCAAAAUAGGAAUAGAAAAAUCACAGAUAAUUAUGUGUGCACCACAAUUUAGUCCAAAUAUCAAGUCUAAACGUGUUAGGUAUAUUCUAAAAAUGUAUGAACAUUGGUUGAAAGAGUACAAAAUGUCUUGUGGUCAUCUGUUGAUAUAUUAAUUGUCUUACUUACUCUGUUUGUCUCUUUCUGUUGAAAAUCUUGUUAUGAAACGGCAAUUUGUGGUUCUCGUAACUAAAGGGUUGUAUCAGGGGCCGACUCAUUAAGUGCUCAGUGGGUGCAAUCUUUAAUUUUUGAUGUUUACAAAGUAGUCCGCAUAAUUUUUUGGUCCAUAAUUUUAAUUUUUUAACCUAUAAUUUUUACAUAAUUCUGUCUCACCUCCAUUGAAUCAUGUUCCUGGGUUCGUCCCUGGAUUGUAUUGGAUUUUCUCAGUACCAUCAAGU